GGUUUCGUAGUUCAGUCGGGAGAAUGUCAGAUUCAUAACCUGAAGGUCGCGAGUUCGAUCCUCGCCGAAACCA
Non-coding RNA from Anaeramoeba ignava, 73 nucleotides. NCBI's taxonomy places the organism in Eukaryota, Anaeramoebidae. The record is from the annotation of a GenBank genome assembly.